Molecule: long non-coding RNA, 1377 nt
Filed under: Rattus norvegicus (Norway rat)
Lineage: Eukaryota; Metazoa; Chordata; Mammalia; Rodentia; Muridae
Description: long non-coding RNA NONRATT029672
Source: RNAcentral
ACUCACUGCUUACAAAUAGCCCCCAGCUCGCCUUUGUGGGAGGGCUUCUUUCUUUGUUUGUUUGUUUUUUUUUUGUUUGUUUGUUUUGGUUUUUUUUUUUUUUUUUUUUGCAAAUACGUUUUUUCUGCUGCAGCCUGUUUGACCCUAUACCCUAGUUUUAGCAGGUAAGUUGUCUCAUCCUACUGGGCAAACAGCAGGCUUUUGUUUCUGCUUUUGUGUUUCCCAGAAGGACUUCAUACUGGCAUGGAGCAAAGGACAGCUAUGUAUUUUUGGUGGGUAUUUUAUAAAUAGAAUGAGGCCUAAAAUGUUUAAAUUGCCAUUUUAUUUCUACCUGAAGGGCGUCAUUUCAGCCCAUGUCCUUGUAAGGUGCCUGUCGUCUGUGUGGGGUUGCUGCCCUCUUACUGCACAGGCUUCUUUCUGCAGCCUCUGCAGAUUUGCUGUCUGCAUUUCUAUCCCUUAACGCUCAUAGGCUGAGAAGGAGGAUUUAGCAUAGCCUCUAUGGGCAUUGUGUGAUGGGAACCUGUCACAGGCUACCACUGAGGCUUUCUGCAGCCCCCAGCAGCAUCCAGCUCACUCCUGAUGGAUGAGCAGUCCCCUAGGCCACCUUAAGAGGACAUUGUCGCAUGAAGAGGUAGCAUGGUCCUUCUCCGUGAAGGCGUGCUCCGAGAGUUGGGAGUGAGGAGAAACUGUGAGGAAGAGAGUACACCAAUUUACAAUUUGUGUUUAUUUUCCUUUUUUAAAGACCCUUUUUUUUUAAAGUAAAGUUGUUUUUUUUUUAAAUGGUUUUUACUCAGUUUUUCACCUUCUGUAAAUACUUAUUAAGGUCUUGAAUUAUCGUAUAAAGGAUCUCUCUGUGUUUGGAGAUGUUCUUACUGGCAUAAGGUCUGAGGUGUUCCUUACGUUUCUGGGUAUUUAUUAUGUACACUACGUCGAACCCUGGGAAGUGUGAAGACUGCCUUAGCACGGUUUUGUGCCUCAAGGCUUAGCACAGGUGGCACAGCCAGUGUUUCUCAGUUAGUGGAAGGCAGCAGUCCAGUUCUCAGGGGGGCCUGGACAUGGUGGAGAUGUCGCUCAGCCUCUGAGUCUCUCCUGUCUGAAGCAUACCACCCCACCCUGCCAAACAGAUGCUUCCAAACAGUUUAGGAGAGGGAAGGAUUGCUUGCCAACCAGCCUCUGUAUGUUCAUGAUCUCUUUUCGACUAAAUUAAAAAACUUAGCCAUAACCCUAAGUGGACCCCAUAUAUACCAAGUUAAUAUAUAUACAUGUACAUGUAUAUAUAUCCUUUUAUGAAUUUGUAUAUAUGAAUAGAAUUUUUAUGUUGAGAAAAUUACAUACAUUGUAUGUGAGUAAAAUUUUAUAUGCUGUAGUCUAUCAGAU